AACGAACGCUGGCGGCAUGCCUAACACAUGCAAGUCGAACGAGACCUUCGGGUCUAGUGGCGCACGGGUGCGUAACGCGUGGGAACCUGCCUUUAGGUUCGGAAUAACUCAGAGAAAUUUGAGCUAAUACCGGAUGAUGUCUUCGGACCAAAGAUUUAUCGCCUUUAGAUGGGCCCGCGUUGGAUUAGCUAGUUGGUGGGGUAAAGGCCUACCAAGGCGACGAUCCAUAGCUGGUCUGAGAGGAUGAUCAGCCACACUGGGACUGAGACACGGCCCAGACUCCUACGGGAGGCAGCAGUGAGGAAUAUUGGACAAUGGGCGAAAGCCUGAUCCAGCAAUGCCGCGUGAGUGAUGAAGGCCUUAGGGUUGUAAAGCUCUUUUACCCGAGAUGAUAAUGACAGUAUCGGGAGAAUAAGCUCCGGCUAACUCCGUG
This 433-nucleotide ribosomal RNA is filed under the name uncultured bacterium. RNAcentral describes it as "partial 16S ribosomal RNA". It matches the Rfam family "Bacterial small subunit ribosomal RNA", at positions 29 to 507 of the family's 1533-position model. The record is from RNAcentral.